GAUGAACGCUGGCGGCGUGCCUAAUACAUGCAAGUCGAGCGAACAGACGAGGAGCUUGCUCCUCUGACGUUAGCGGCGGACGGGUGAGUAACACGUGGAUAACCUACCUAUAAGACUGGGAUAACUUCGGGAAACCGGAGCUAAUACCGGAUAAUAUUUUGAACCGCAUGGUUCAAAAGUGAAAGACGGUCUUGCUGUCACUUAUAGAUGGAUCCCGCCGCAUUAGCUAGUUGGUAAGGUAACGGCUUACCAAGGCAACGAUGCAUAGCCGACCUGAGAGGGUGAUCGGCCACACUGGAACUGAGACACGGUCCAGACUCCUACGGGAGGCAGCAGUAGGGAAUCUUCCGCAAUGGGCGAAAGCCUGACGGAGCAACGCCGCGUGAGUGAUGAAGGUCUUCGGAUCGUAAAACUCUGUUAUUAGGGAAGAACAAAUGUGUAAGUAACUAUGCACGUCUUGACGGUACCUAAUCAGAAAGCCACGGCUAACUACGUG
RNAcentral lists this ribosomal RNA (496 nucleotides) under uncultured bacterium. Its description in RNAcentral is "partial 16S ribosomal RNA". It matches the Rfam family "Bacterial small subunit ribosomal RNA", at positions 28 to 507 of the family's 1533-position model. The record is from RNAcentral.